RNAcentral lists this ribosomal RNA (1367 nucleotides) under uncultured bacterium. RNAcentral's name for it is "partial 16S ribosomal RNA". It matches the Rfam family "Bacterial small subunit ribosomal RNA", at positions 45 to 1400 of the family's 1533-position model. The record is from RNAcentral.
UGCUUAAUACAUGCAAGUCGAACGGUAACAGGCCCUUCGGGGUGCUGACGAGUGGCGGACGGGUGAGUAAUGCUUAGGAAUCUGCCUAGUAGUGGGGGAUAACCCGGGGAAACUCGGGCUAAUACCGCAUACGCCCUACGGGGGAAAGCGGGGGACUUUCGGGCCUCGCGCUAUUAGAUGAGCCUAAGUCCGAUUAGCUAGUUGGUAGGGUAAUGGCCUACCAAGGCGACGAUCGGUAGCUGGUCUGAGAGGACGACCAGCCACACUGGGACUGAGACACGGCCCAGACUCCUACGGGAGGCAGCAGUGGGGAAUAUUGGACAAUGGGCGCAAGCCUGAUCCAGCGAUGCCGCGUGUGUGAAGAAGGCCUGCGGGUCGUAAAGCACUUUCAGUAGGGAAGAAAAGCCGAGUGCUAAUAUCACUCGGUCUUGACGUUACUUACAGAAGAAGCACCGGCUAACUCCGUGCCAGCAGCCGCGGUAAUACGGAGGGUGCGAGCGUUAAUCGGAAUUACUGGGCGUAAAGGGCGCGUAGGCGGUUUGGUAAGUCGGGUGUGAAAGCCCCGGGCUCAACCUGGGAAUUGCAUUCGAUACUGCCUGGCUAGAGUAUGGUAGAGGGAAGCGGAAUUCCGGGUGUAGCGGUGAAAUGCGUAGAUAUCCGGAGGAACACCAGUGGCGAAGGCGGCUUCCUGGACCAAUACUGACGCUGAGGCGCGAAAGCGUGGGGAUCAAACAGGAUUAGAUACCCUGGUAGUCCACGCCCUAAACGAUGAGAACUAGCCGUUGGAGGAGCUUUGUCCUUUAGUGGCGCAGCUAACGCGAUAAGUUCUCCGCCUGGGGAGUACGGCCGCAAGGUUAAAACUCAAAGGAAUUGACGGGGGCCCGCACAAGCGGUGGAGCAUGUGGUUUAAUUCGAUGCAACGCGAAGAACCUUACCUGGCCUUGACAUGCUGGUGGUAGAACCCAGAAACGGGGACGACUCCUCGCAAGAGGAGAGCCAGCACAGGUGCUGCAUGGUUGUCGUCAGCUCGUGUCGUGAGAUGUUGGCUUAAGUGCCGCAACGAGCGCAACCCUUGUGUUUAGUUGCCCGCGCAAGCGGGAUCUCUAAACAGACUGCCUGGCUUUAAACCAGGAGGAAGGUGGGGAUGACGUCAAAUCAGUAUGGCCCUUACGGCCAGGGCUGCACACGUGCUACAAUGCUCGGUACAGAGGGAUGCAAGACCGCGAGGUGGAGCAAAUCCCGCAAAACCGAGCCCAGUUCAGAUUGGAGGCUGCAACUCGCCUCCAUGAAGCCGGAAUCGCUAGUAAUGGCGCAUCAGCUACGGCGCCGUGAAUACGUUCCCGGGCCUUGCACACACCGCCCGUCAC